UUCUGCAGGGUACUUUACGUGAUGUGAUCUUGGUGAUUCAGAGUGGUGCUGCCGCCAGCUAUUUCUUCAGCCUCGCGUUUACUAGACAAUGACCCAACACACCUCCAGGCCGUGUAAGGGCUAUUUCACCAAGAAGGAGAGUGAUGGAGUGCUGCAUCAGAUGACUUGGCCUCCACAAUCCCCCGACCUCAACCAAAUUGAGAUGGUUUGGGAUAAGUUGGACCACAGAAUGAAGGAAAAGCAGCCAACAAGUGCUCAGCAUAUGUGGGAACUCCUUCAAGACUUUUAGAAAAGCGUUCCAGGUGAAGCUGGUUGAGAGAAUGCCAAGAGUGUGCAAAGCUGUCAUCAAGGCAAAGGGUGUCUUUUUUUAAGAAUAUAAAAUAUAAAAUGUUUUGGGAUUUGUUAAAUACUUUUUUUGGUUUCUACAUGUGUUAUUUCAUAGUUUUGAUGUCUUAAAAAAUAAAAAAUAAAGAAAAACCCUUGAA
Long non-coding RNA from Salvelinus fontinalis (brook trout), 485 nucleotides. RefSeq lists it as uncharacterized. The record is from RefSeq and is a predicted model, not a curated record. The transcript has 2 exons. Lineage: Eukaryota; Metazoa; Chordata; Actinopteri; Salmoniformes; Salmonidae.